RNAcentral lists this long non-coding RNA (251 nucleotides) under Elaeis guineensis (African oil palm). RNAcentral describes it as "long non-coding RNA (EGUI_LNC056586)". Lineage: Eukaryota; Viridiplantae; Streptophyta; Magnoliopsida; Arecales; Arecaceae. The record is from RNAcentral.
UCAUGCUUAACAAUGACCUUACUCAUCCUCAAAAAAUUAUAAGCCUUAUUUUAUCUACAUGCAAGCUAUCUUAAGUGAGUUAUAAGCCUAACCCAUGCAUUAUACCUAUAUGCAAGCUAUGCAUGCACAGUUAGAAGCCUUAUUUUAUCUACCAAGCUAAGAUAUGGGACCAUAGUGGCAUAUUAAUAAGCAUAAAUAAUUGGAUAAACAAUUAGGCAAACCACUAACUGAAUAUUAUAAGAGCCUACUUU